GACAGAGGGUGCAAACGUUGUUCGGAAUUACUGGGCGUAAAGGGCGCGUAGGCGGUGCGGUAAGUCACCUGUGAAAUCUCCUGGCUCAACUGGGAGCUUGCAGGCGAAACUGCCGUGCUGGAGUGUGGGAGAGGUGAGUGGAAUUCCCGGUGUAGCGGUGAAAUGCAUAGAGAUCCGGAAGAACACCGACGGCGAAGGCAGCGUCCUGGCCGAGCACUGACGCUCAGGCACGAAAGCGCGGGGAGCAAACAGG
RNAcentral lists this ribosomal RNA (253 nucleotides) under uncultured bacterium. Its description in RNAcentral is "partial 16S ribosomal RNA". It matches the Rfam family "Bacterial small subunit ribosomal RNA", at positions 524 to 776 of the family's 1533-position model. The record is from RNAcentral.